This is a non-coding RNA of Actinobacillus minor NM305, 85 nucleotides long. NCBI's taxonomy places the organism in Bacteria, Pseudomonadati, Pseudomonadota, Gammaproteobacteria, Pasteurellales, Pasteurellaceae. The record is from Rfam.
GUCGAGAGGGCGGAGAAUACAAUACCCGAAAGGGAAAUAAUCCCAGCCUACUUUGGAAGGCUUUCGAACCUCUCGGCUACCCUAA